AUUGAACGCUGGCGGCAGGCCUAACACAUGCAAGUCGAGCGGAUGAAGGGAGCUUGCUCCUGGAUUCAGCGGCGGACGGGUGAGUAAUGCCUAGGAAUCUGCCUGGUAGUGGGGGAUAACGUCCGGAAACGGGCGCUAAUACCGCAUACGUCCUGAGGGAGAAAGUGGGGGAUCUUCGGACCUCCCGCUAUCAGAUGAGCCUAGGUCGGAUUAGCUAGUUGGUGGGGUAAAGGCCUACCAAGGCGACGAUCCGUAACUGGUCUGAGAGGAUGAUCAGUCACACUGGAACUGAGACACGGUCCAGACUCCUACGGGAGGCAGCAGUGGGGAAUAUUGGACAAUGGGCGAAAGCCUGAUCCAGCCAUGCCGCGUGUGUGAAGAAGGUCUUCGGAUUGUAAAGCACUUUAAGUUGGGAGGAAGGGCAGUAAGUUAAUACCUUGCUGUUUUGACGUUACCAACAGAAUAAGCACCGGCUAACUUCGUG
Molecule: ribosomal RNA, 484 nt
Filed under: uncultured bacterium
Lineage: Bacteria
Description: partial 16S ribosomal RNA
Rfam family: Bacterial small subunit ribosomal RNA
Source: RNAcentral